GAUGUGAAAGCCCUGGGCUCAACCCAGGAAGUGCAUUGGAUACUGGGAGACUUGAAUACGGGAGAGGGUAGUGGAAUUCCUAGUGUAGGAGUGAAAUCCGUAGAUAUUAGGAGGAACACCGGUGGCGAAGGCGGCUACCUGGACCGAUAUUGACGCUGAGACGCGAAAGCGUGGGGAGCAAACAGGAUUAGAUACCCUGGUAGUCCACGCCGUAAACGAUGAGAACUAGGUGUUGCGGGUAA
Molecule: ribosomal RNA, 242 nt
Filed under: uncultured Geobacter sp.
Lineage: Bacteria; Pseudomonadati; Thermodesulfobacteriota; Desulfuromonadia; Geobacterales; Geobacteraceae
Description: partial 16S ribosomal RNA
Rfam family: Bacterial small subunit ribosomal RNA
Source: RNAcentral